RNAcentral lists this ribosomal RNA (328 nucleotides) under uncultured eukaryote. RNAcentral describes it as "partial 18S ribosomal RNA". It matches the Rfam family "Eukaryotic small subunit ribosomal RNA", at positions 1470 to 1796 of the family's 1831-position model. The record is from RNAcentral.
CCCUUAGAUGUCCGGGGCUGCACGCGCGCUACACUGAAGGAAUCAGCGUGCUAAAACCAUUGUCGAAAGGCAUUGGUAAACCCAUUAAAAUCCUACGUGAUUGGGAUCGGGAAUUGCAAUUAUUUCCCUUGAACGAGGAAUUCCCAGUAAGUGUGGGUCAUAAGCUCGCGUUGAUUACGUCCCUGCCCUUUGUACACACCGCCCGUCGCUGCCCGGGACUGAGCCGUUUCGAGAAAAGCGGGGACUGCUGCUAUCGGGGCUUUCGGGCCUUGGCUUCGGUGGAAACCGCUUUAAUCGCAGUGGCUUGAACCGGGCAAAAGUCGUANCA